Non-coding RNA from Myotis brandtii (Brandt's bat), 77 nucleotides. The record is from Rfam. NCBI's taxonomy places the organism in Eukaryota, Metazoa, Chordata, Mammalia, Chiroptera, Vespertilionidae.
CUCGGGGUGGGGGUGGGGUCCCUCAGCCCAGAUUGCAAGAGGGAGCAGGCCAGGCUGAGGGACCCCACCGGUGAACG